This is a long non-coding RNA of Scomber scombrus (Atlantic mackerel), 318 nucleotides long. RefSeq lists it as uncharacterized. Lineage: Eukaryota; Metazoa; Chordata; Actinopteri; Scombriformes; Scombridae. The record is from RefSeq and is a predicted model, not a curated record. The transcript is spliced from 3 exons.
GGGUAUCGGACCCCCUGAUACGGGCCGUCCGUUCCCUGUACGACCCGUGUCAGAGCUUGAAUCAGCAAGAGUCCAAAUCCGAGUCCAUGGUCCUCAGCUGGAAAAGGGUGGAGUGCCUUCUCCGGGUCGGGGAUGAGAUCCUGCCCCAAGUGGAGGAGUUUAAAUACCUCGGGGUCUUGUUCACGAGUGAGGGAAGGAUGGAGCGGGAGAUCGACAGGCGGAUCGGUGCGGGUUCUGCAGUAAUGCGGACUCUGCACAGAUCCGUUGUGCCUCACCUAUGGUCAUGAGCUUUGGGUAGUGACCGAAAGAACAAGAUCG